GUCAGGCGGGGCCACCCGCCGAGUUUAAGCAUAUAAAUAAGCGGAGGAGAAGAAACUUACGAGGAUUCCCCUAGUAACGGCGAGCGAACCGGGAUCAGCCCAGCUUGAGAAUCGGGCGGCCGCGCCGUCCGAAUUGUAGUCUGGAGAAGCGUCCUCAGCGACGGACCGGG
This 170-nucleotide ribosomal RNA is filed under the name Heliconia kautzkiana. RNAcentral's name for it is "partial 26S ribosomal RNA". It matches the Rfam family "Eukaryotic large subunit ribosomal RNA", at positions 11 to 179 of the family's 3401-position model. Lineage: Eukaryota; Viridiplantae; Streptophyta; Magnoliopsida; Zingiberales; Heliconiaceae. The record is from RNAcentral.